RNAcentral lists this unclassified non-coding RNA (1105 nucleotides) under Hevea brasiliensis (rubber tree). Lineage: Eukaryota; Viridiplantae; Streptophyta; Magnoliopsida; Malpighiales; Euphorbiaceae. The record is from RNAcentral.
GGAAACUAUUCUGGUGCUGCUGAUUAUCUUUACCAGUACCGAGCAUUGUGCACAAACAGUGACAGGAGCGUCAGUGCAUUGUGGGGAAAGCUUGCAGCGGAGAUACUAAUGCAGAAUUGGGAUAUUGCACUCGAGGAACUCAACCGCUUGAAAGAAAUUAUCGACUCAAAGAGUUUCUCUACUCCGUUGAAUCAAGUUCAGAAUAGAAUAUGGCUAAUGCAUUGGAGUCUAUUCAUCUUCUUCAACCAUGACAAUGGCAGGACACUGAUCAUUGACCUGUUUAACCAGGACAAAUACUUGAAUGCCAUUCAAACAAGUGCUCCCCACUUGCUGCGGUACUUGGCUAUUGCAUUUAUUGUCAACAAAAGAAGAAGACCUCAAUUUAAGGACUUUAUAAAGGUUAUUCAGCAGGAGCAACACUCUUGUAAAGAUCCCAUCACAGAGUUUUUGGCAUGUAUUUACGUCGACUAUGAUUUUGAUGGGGCACAGGAGAAGAUGAAGGAGUGCGAAGAGCUAAUAUUGAAUGACCCAUUCCUUGGAAAAAGAGCUGAAGAGGGCAGUUUCUCCUCUGUGCCAUUGAGAGAUGAAUUCCUUGAAAAUGCUCGUCUUUUUAUCUCUGAGACCUACUGCCGCAUUCACCAACGCAUUGACAUGGGGGUUCUAGCUGAGAAGCUUAACUUGAACCUUGAGGAGGCAGAGCGAUGGAUGGUGAAUCUUAUCAGGACCUCAAAGCUUGAUGCCAAGAUAGACACUGAAACCGGGACAGUUACAAUGGAACCAAAUCAGCCUAAUGUGUACGAGCAGCUCAUCGAUCACACCAAGCCCCUUUCUGGACGCACGUACAAAUUAGUCAGUCAGCUUCUUGAACAUGCACAAACACAACUUGCUAGAUAGUUUGGUUGAGGACAUUAAGCUCGUGCCAAUUUUGCAUUGCUCCCGUACCUGAUUAACACCUUUAUAUUCAAGAAUGUUGCUUAUGUUAAUUCCUGGAUUUCCCUUGGAGGAAAUUUUGAGAUACAUGAUGAAUUAUACAUUAGUUUCUUUUUUAUCUUGUGUUGUCUCCAUUGGAAGUGGUAUGCCUUUGCAUUUUAGUACUCGUUUUUGC